RNAcentral lists this ribosomal RNA (254 nucleotides) under uncultured bacterium. RNAcentral's name for it is "partial 16S ribosomal RNA". It matches the Rfam family "Bacterial small subunit ribosomal RNA", at positions 524 to 776 of the family's 1533-position model. The record is from RNAcentral.
UACGGGGGGAGCCAGCGUUGUUCGGAUUUACUGGGCGUAAAGGGCGCGUAGGCGGCCUGUGCAAGUCAGUUGUGAAAUCUCCGAGCUUAACUCGGAACGGUCAACUGAUACUGCUCGGCUAGAGUGCGGAAGGGGCAACUGGAAUUCUUGGUGUAGCGGUGAAAUGCGUAGAUAUCAAGAGGAACACCUGCGGCGAAGGCGGGUUGCUGGGCCGACACUGACGCUGAGGCGCGAAAGCUAGGGGAGCGAACGGG